GAUGAACGCUGGCGGCGUGCCUAAUACAUGCAAGUCGAGCGAACAGACGAGGAGCUUGCUCCUCUGACGUUAGCGGCGGACGGGUGAGUAACACGUGGAUAACCUACCUAUAAGACUGGGAUAACUUCGGGAAACCGGAGCUAAUACCGGAUAACAUGUUGAACCGCAUGGUUCAACAGUGAAAGACGGUCUUGCUGUCGCUUAUAGAUGGAUCCGCGCCGUAUUAGCUAGUUGGUAAGGUAACGGCUUACCAAGGCAACGAUGCGUAGCCGACCUGAGAGGGUGAUCGGCCACACUGGAACUGAGACACGGUCCAGACUCCUACGGGAGGCAGCAGUAGGGAAUCUUCCGCAAUGGGCGAAAGCCUGACGGAGCAACGCCGCGUGAGUGAAGAAGGUCUUCGGAUCGUAAAACUCUGUUAUUAGGGAAGAACAAAUGUGUAAGUAACUAUGCACGUCUUGACGGUACCUAAUCAGAAAGCCACGGCUAACUACGUG
This 497-nucleotide ribosomal RNA is filed under the name uncultured bacterium. RNAcentral's name for it is "partial 16S ribosomal RNA". It matches the Rfam family "Bacterial small subunit ribosomal RNA", at positions 28 to 507 of the family's 1533-position model. The record is from RNAcentral.